RNAcentral lists this non-coding RNA (28 nucleotides) under Mus musculus (house mouse). The record is from RNAcentral. Lineage: Eukaryota; Metazoa; Chordata; Mammalia; Rodentia; Muridae.
UGCCAUUCACAUUGCUGCUCACAAAACA